AGCCGGGUCGUCUAGCGGUCAAGGAUGCGGGGCAGGUUCCCCCGUGACCGGGGUUCGAAUCCCCGCCCGGCUACCA
RNAcentral lists this transfer RNA (76 nucleotides) under Thermoprotei archaeon. Its description in RNAcentral is "tRNA-Thr". It matches the Rfam family "tRNA". From Rfam's summary of the family: Transfer RNA (tRNA) molecules are approximately 80 nucleotides in length. Their secondary structure includes four short double-helical elements and three loops (D, anti-codon, and T loops). Further hydrogen bonds mediate the characteristic L-shaped molecular structure. tRNAs have two regions of fundamental functional importance: the anti-codon, which is responsible for specific mRNA codon recognition, and the 3' end, to which the tRNAs corresponding amino acid is attached (by aminoacyl-tRNA synthetases). tRNAs cope with the degeneracy of the genetic code in two manners: having more than one tRNA (with a specific anti-codon) for a particular amino acid; and 'wobble' base-pairing, i.e. permitting non-standard base-pairing at the 3rd anti-codon position. Lineage: Archaea; Thermoproteati; Thermoproteota; Thermoprotei. The record is from RNAcentral.